This is a long non-coding RNA of Prunus persica (peach), 1436 nucleotides long. RefSeq lists it as uncharacterized. The transcript has 3 exons. The record is from RefSeq and is a predicted model, not a curated record. Lineage: Eukaryota; Viridiplantae; Streptophyta; Magnoliopsida; Rosales; Rosaceae.
CUGUUUCUUUCUCUGUUAUAUUGCUUUCUAUUUUAUUUGUUUUCUCUCUCUAAUCCUAAUUAACAUUUGUUGAUUAUCUCUAAUCAAUUUUUUUUUCUUCCUCAUUUUCUCUUUCAAACACUGGAAUACCGACUGGAAUUUUGUCUCUGGAUAUGAUCGUUUCUGUGGGAAUCUGAAUUUGGUUUUUUUUCUUUCAUUUUCAAAUUGUGUUAUUUGUCGGAAUCGAUCGAUCCUUUCCGAGAAACCUGAGCUGGAUAUCAAAAUCUGUGAAUUGUGAACAAAAUAUAUGUAACCUUUAUCAUUAUUAUUUUUCUCAAAUAUUCUUUGAGAUUUUUUAUUAUUAUAGAUUAGGUAGUACCUUAAAAAAAAAGAAAAAAAAAAAGAAUAGGGUUUUGUUUUGUUUUCUUCUUGGGUCUAGUUUCAACACGUUAGAUUCUUCUUGGGGUACCCCUCUUUACGUUUUGGCCACUGGCAGUAGGCCACGUAAGCUUAUUCCUCGUGGACUUGGUGCUAUUUAAUUUGUACACGAUGAAACGAAAAUUCUCCAAACUAUUCCCUUCACUGUGUUCUUCUUUGAAUUUCCUUAGUCUUCUGGUUUUUUUUUUUUUUUAAAAAUAUAUAUAUAAAUAGUUUAUGUAUCAUUUUCUUGUUAGAUUACCUCUUCAAAAUCCACAAACACUCGGAUCUCGAUCGAUCUGUGAUUAUUCUUCUGAGAAAAGCUGAGUGAUUGAGUCUGUUUAUGGAGAGAGAGAGAGAGAGACUUGAGCCUCGAUGAUGCUGCAAAGCCUUUUAAAGCAUUUUGAAAAGAGGCUGGUAGGUGUGGACGUCUCUGCACCGGAUAUUGUAAGAGGACGCUCGAUUGGCAUUACAUAGUCCUAUUGUAGUUCUGUGCAGACGUUCACAUGUAAACAGUUUUACACGUAGAAUACUUUGAAAACUUUCAUACCUUCGUUACAGAUACAAAUACAUGAACAGAUACGUGCCGUAUAUGCAUCCAUACCAAUAAAAUAUUAUAUUUUUCCUUACGAUUAUUGGAUACACAAAAAUACUUCUGUAUGGCAGGGCGCGACUUGGCGUGGACUCACAUUUGAACGACGUAAUGCAUGAGAACUAGUGGAGAUGCUCUAGAGAAAUUUCUGGACAAAAUUCUGAGUGGAUCUCUUGAUUUAAUUUUCGUUUGGAAAUCAUUAAUCAAUGAGGACCACAGAUAUACAAUUAGUUGCUUUGUUUAUUCUUUUUAUUUUUUUAUUUUUUUCAUCAUUGUAUAAAGUUGGUCCUAUUUUGUACAUAAAUUUAUUUCUUGCCAAGGCCACUCAUCAUCCUUCAUGUUGAGCAAGAACACGAAAACUGUCACAUGGGAAAUUAUGAGUACAUAACAAAACUAUGUCAAUCUGUGGGGUUGUAUAUAUUAAUUAUUGCAUAAAUGUUGCUAAACA